CCCGCCCGGCAGGUGCCGCCCCUCCCCGGGCAGACGUGCAGAAAAGAACGCGCCGGCCUCGCCCGCGAAGGGCCGCGCGGCGGUGGGCGGGGCGUCGCGAACCCCCCUCGCGCCCACUGGCUGCGUUGCGGUAGGGCGGGCCCGGCUAGGCCGGCCAUUGGCUGAGGGACCAGGUCAUUUGCAUACGGGGCUGGGCGUGGAGCCGCGGGGCCCGGGGCCGGUCGGGUCGGGCCGGGGGGCGAGAGGGUGCCAGCGGCCGCAGCUGAAGUUGGGCCGAGAGCCGGCGACGGCCCCGCGCCGGGGUCGCAGGCCUGCAGGAGUUGAGGGCUGCACCUGCUCGCUGGAGAGGGAGAGGCAGAUUUAGUGGACGCCUGGCAUGGACUCGGACUGGCCUUUGGAAGCUCCCUGCCCUGACGGGGUUGCCUGUCACCACUGCGAAGUGAGGCUUGGCAGGACCUGCACCUGAGAAAGGCUGUGUGUGGUCUUGGGGUCCACACCUGCAGAGCUAACUUACUGCCAGACGGCGACUUACUGUGGGCCACCCUCAGUGAACCGGGGUGUCCUCAGCUGGCCCUACAGAGCACUUCUGUGCUGGGGAUGAGUAGGAACUCUGGGCGAGGAGGGUCCCAGCGCCGCCCCUCGAUACAGCCUGGCUCUGCCCUCUGCCCGUACUUACACCAGGUGGGAUCCCUGCCCUGCAUUGCCUGGGGAUUGGCUGGGCUUGGGCCCGCCCUGCUGUGGAACUGGAUGUUUUCAGGGAGCCCAGCCUUUCCUCAUGUCAACACAGUUCACAAUAUAGUUUUCAAAGUACAGUUUAAAACUCAAAAGUAAACUUUUCAGCAACUCAAAGGUUUGCUGAGUGAUCUGAAGCACUCUGGCCACUUUUUGGGGCCAUGGGAUUUGGUUCACCUGAAACAGCCAGUGAGAGGCCGGGUGUGGUGGCUCACACCCGUAAUCCCAACACUUCAGGAGGCAGACGCGGGUGAUCGCUCACUUGAGAUCAGGAGUUCAAGACCAGCCUGGGCAACAUGGUGAAACCUCGUCUCUACUAAAAAUACAAAAAUUAGCUAGGCAUGGUGGUGGGCACCUGUAAUCCCAGCUACUUGGAAGGCUGAGGCAAGAGAAUCGCUUGAACCUGGGAGGUGGAGGUUGCAGCGAGACGAGAUUACGCCGCUGCACUCCAGCCUGGGUGACGAGAGACUCUGCCUCAAAAAAAUAAAAAAAUGAAACAGCCAGUGAGGAGGAAGGCUCCCCGCCUUCCCCCCGCCGGAACAUAGCCAUAGCUGCUGCUGGGACACCCUCUUGGUGGGGAAGAAGGCUGGUUAGCUUCAUCAGAGCCAGCAGCAGCAGACCAGGGACGGGCACCUAGGCAGUGGCCUCAGAGUGAACAGGAGUUCCUCAGAAACACACACAGGGACGGCGUGGCGCAUGCUCUGCCAGCUCCAUGCCUCCUUCCCAUUGUGGGGCUGGGGUACGUAGGGCAGAGCUCAUGACCUCCGGGAGGACAUGGGGGUGGGCUCUGGAUGGCACCUGGCAUUGCCCCCUGCUGGCCUAUGUGACGGUGUGGAGGGCUGGUCACAGAGGUACGACCAUCCCUCCAGAAUGUGGGUCGGGGCUGUGGAUGGAGGAGUAGGCCCCUCAUAUCCCAGGCCUGCUGCCCAGGCACAACCCACUUGGCCUAUGCAUUCCAGGCUCCAUCCCAUGUGACUCUGGGCUUAGCCCCUUCUGGGGCCACAGGUCAGGCAGGUCCAGGCCCCAAGGACCUCCCAGUGACAGGCGACUGUGAGCUGGGCAGACAGGAGUGAAGUCAGGUGGGGGUUCUGGCUUGCUGACACCAGCGUUUGGAGCCUCCUGCUGCUGCCUGGCUUCCCUGCAUUCCCUGUUCCCUGCCUCAGGCAAGAAAUAACCAAGCCGAGUUGCCUCUGCACAGCAGUGAGCUCCUGGUGGCCCUGGCUUCUGGGGAGCCCUGUGGAUGGCUUCCUUGCCCAAGUCCAGGCCUUCUUGUUCCCUUUGUGUGCUCCAGAGAAAGGGGGCAGCACCAGAUCCAGAUCCAGGGCCAACCAACAGAAAGCUGAGUCCAUCCCAAACUCGCCCAUUCUCAGAGCACAAAGACCCCAUGAUCUAGGGCAAACUUGUCCAACUGUUGGCCCAUGGAACAGCUUUGAAUGCAGCCCAACACAAAUCUAUAAAUUUUCUUAAACAUUGUGAGUUGUUUUUUGUUGUUAUUUUGAGACAGAGUCUCGAUCUGUCGCCCAGGCUGGAGUUAGUGGCCCAAUCUCGGCUCACUGCAAGCUCCGCCUCCUGGGUUCACGCUCGUCUCCUGCCUCAGCCUCCCGAGUAGCUGGGACUACAGGCGCCCGCCAACACGCCUGGCUAAUUUUGGUAUUUUUAGUAGAGACGGGGUUUCACCACGUUAGCCAGGAUGGUCUUGAUCUCCUGACCUUGUGAUCUGCCCGCCUCGGCCUCCCAAAGUGCUGGGAUUACAGGUGUGAGCCACCGUGCCUGGCCAACAUUGUGAGUUUUUUUUACGAUUUUUUUUUUAAAGCUUAUCAGCUAUCAUUACUGUAUUCCAUGUAUGGCCCAUGUAUGGCCUCAGUGUAUUCCAAUGUGGCCCAGGGAAGCCAAAAGAUUGGACACCCCUGACCUAGGGCAUCCCCAUCCUCUGCCUUCCCAUGCAUGGCUGUACCCAGGUAUAGGGGUCCUCCACAUUCUGCUCAACACAAAAGAUUUCUCCAGCCCCAACCAUGGAUCCUGGAGCUGGGAGUGUAUGGCUUACCCUUAGAACCAGGAGAGGUGACAGCUAGCCCAAGGGCCCAGGCAGGGGCUGGGCUGUGGACACAAUUUUUUUUUAUUUUGGAGACAGAGUCUUGCUCUGUCACUAAGGCUGGAGUGCAGUGGAGUGAUCUUAGCUCACUGCAACCUCUGCCUCCCAGGUUCAACUAAUUCUCCUGCCUCAGCCUCCCAAGUAACUGGGAUUACAGGUGCAUGCCACCACACCCGGUUUUGUUUUUUUUUUUUUUUGACAGAGUCUUGCUUUGUUGCCCAGGCUGGAGCACAGUGGCGCGAUCUCGGCUCACUGCAAACUCCGCCCCCCGGGUUCACGCCAUUCUCCUGCCUCAGCCUCCCGAGUAGCUGGAACUACAAGCACCCUCCACCACGCCCGGCCAAUUUUUUGUAUUUUUAGUAGAGACGGGGUUUCAUCAUGUUGGCCAGGCUGGUCUCAAACUCCUGACCUCAGGUGAUCCGCCUGCCUCAGCUUCCCAAAGUGCUGGGAUUACAGGCGUGAGCCACCAUGCCUGGCCCCUGCCCUGAUUUCAAAGCUGCAAGCUCAGAGCAGACAUUUCACACCCACCUGGAGAAGAGGAGGCAGCCCCUGCCCACUGGUACCCAUACCCUCCCUGGGGUGGUGAAGCAGCCUGGGACUGGCUGACCUGAGUGUGGGAUCCACCCCCACAAGUUCUCAGUAAACCUGACGGGCGGGUCUAGCUUGUCCUGACGUCCUCAGUUCCCGCUGCUGGCGGGGCACAGGCAACAUGACAGAGAGUCAGGUGGGAGGGGGUCCAGACAAAUGCCUGGGACAGUCAGGCCAGGCUGAACCAGCAGGCCCACCAGGCUGGGGCCCUCACAGGAGAGCCCCUGGGGUUAGGUGAGGCAGAGCAGAUGGAAUGUGGAGCUCAGGAAGCCCCAGCCCUGGGCCCUACUGAGCACCCUGAGGGAUCCUAUUCUCAGAUACUCCAGCUGUGGUGAGCCCCAGGUGUGUCAGGGUACUGCUCAGUGGCACCCCAUGGAGGCUCAAGUUCAAGACCUCAGACCCUGCCCAGCGCAGCCUCCACACACACUCAAGCUGCUUCGGGCAGUUUAUUGAGGUUUUCACGUUGGGGUAGGGGAAGUGGCACACACAUGCUCUUGCUGUGUACACACAGUGAAGGACCUCUCCCGCAGGCAAGCACAUGCCCACAGCUUGAGCACACUGUCCAUGCAUCUCCUGUCCCCAACAGAGGAGCCCUCUGUGACCGCCAACUCUCC
This 4026-nucleotide long non-coding RNA is filed under the name Homo sapiens (human). RNAcentral describes it as "HSALNT0170812". The record is from RNAcentral. Lineage: Eukaryota; Metazoa; Chordata; Mammalia; Primates; Hominidae.